AUUUGAUUUUGAUUUAGUGAGUGUAGAACGUGGAUUAAGAGAGAAUAAGAUUGAUUUGAGUAAGUAGAUUAAGAGAAUUAAGAGAUUAGAGUAAUGAGAGAGAGUAGAAAGAUUAGAGAGAGAUAGACUCAAAACUCAGAUUAGUCUUUAUUAAUCAGAGAGGUUACAAUUUAUAGUUCAGGAUACAAGGGUUUCCAAGACUCUAAGGAUAAGGUAAAGCAUGUGAAGUCAAUACAGAAGCUAGACUCGAUUUUGAAUUGAUCCAAUGGCUGUUCUCACAUGUGUAAGGUAUCUUUGCUUUUGCUUUACCUUUCCAGCAUGAGACAGGCUGUCACCGCGAGCCUUAUCCUUCUCCAAUGGGCUGAUUCUUCUCCAAGACUAAAGGCAUUCACCUUUUACCACUCUAACUCCUCAUUUUAACUUUCACCUUUGGUUAAUGUUUGUGAUCAUCCUUGAUGUGUACGGCCAGUUCCUUCUGUACGGAUUGUACGGCUAUGGCUGAUCACAAACUCUCCCAAAGUCUCAUCCCUUUCAGUCUCUUAACUCCUUAUGCCUUCUCAUACAUUGUACUCAACUCAUUUCAACAUCCACUUCUUGAUCUUCAUCUCAACA
This 612-nucleotide long non-coding RNA is filed under the name Brassica napus (rape). RNAcentral describes it as "long non-coding RNA (BNAP_LNC004943)". The record is from RNAcentral. Lineage: Eukaryota; Viridiplantae; Streptophyta; Magnoliopsida; Brassicales; Brassicaceae.